This 817-nucleotide ribosomal RNA is filed under the name uncultured Eubacterium sp. RNAcentral describes it as "bacterial SSU rRNA". It matches the Rfam family "Bacterial small subunit ribosomal RNA", at positions 51 to 870 of the family's 1533-position model. The record is from RNAcentral. Lineage: Bacteria; Bacillati; Bacillota; Clostridia; Eubacteriales; Eubacteriaceae.
ACACAUGCAAGUCGAACGGGAUGCGUAUUGGAAAGCUUCGGCCGGAAGAUACGUUAUCUAGUGGCGGACGGGUGAGUAACACGUGGGUAACCUGCCUUAUGGAGGGGGAUAACAGAGAGAAAUCACUGUUAAUACCGCAUAAGACCACAGCACCGCAUGGUGCGGGGGUAAAAACUCCGGUGGUAUGAGAUGGACCCGCGUUCGAUUAGCCAGUUGGCGGGGUAACGGCCCACCAAAGCGACGAUCGAUAGCCGAUCUGAGAGGAUGACCGGCCACAUUGGGACUGAGACACGGGCCAAACUCCUACGGGAGGCAGCAGUGGGGAAUAUUGCACAAUGGGGGAAACCCUGAUGCAGCGACGCCGCGUGAGUGAGGAAGUAUUUCGGUAUGUAAAGCUCUAUCAGCAGGGAAGAAAAUGACGGUACCUGAGUAAGAAGCCCCGGCUAACUACGUGCCAGCAGCCGCGGUAAUACGUAGGGGGCAAGCGUUAUCCGGAUUUACUGGGUGUAAAGGGAGCGCAGACGGCUCUGCAAGUCUGAAGUGAAAGCCCGCGGCUUAACCGCGGGACUGCUUUGGAAACUGCAGGGCUUGAGUAUCGGAGGGGCAGGCGGAAUUCCUAGUGUAGCGGUGAAAUGCGUAGAUAUUAGGAAGAACACCGGUGGCGAAGGCGGCCUGCUGGACGAAAACUGACGUUGAGGCUCGAAGGCGUGGGGAGCAAACAGGAUUAGAUACCCUGGUAGUCCACGCGGUAAACGAUGAAUACUAGGUGUUGGUGCCCGAAGGGCAUCGGUGCCGUCGCAAACGCAAUAAGUAUUCC